This 183-nucleotide ribosomal RNA is filed under the name uncultured bacterium. RNAcentral describes it as "partial 16S ribosomal RNA". It matches the Rfam family "Bacterial small subunit ribosomal RNA", at positions 170 to 354 of the family's 1533-position model. The record is from RNAcentral.
CCCAUAACAACAGAAAGCGCAUGCUUUUUGUUUGAAAACCAAGGUGGUAUGGGAUGGACCCGCGUCUGAUUAGCUGGUUGGCGGGGUAAAGGCCCACCAAGGCGACGAUCAGUAGCCGGCCUGAGAGGGUGGACGGCCACAUUGGGACUGAGACACGGCCCAAACUCCUACGGGAGGCAGCAG